AUAGAUGACUCAUUCCCAAGGAUC
RNAcentral lists this non-coding RNA (24 nucleotides) under Arabidopsis thaliana (thale cress). Lineage: Eukaryota; Viridiplantae; Streptophyta; Magnoliopsida; Brassicales; Brassicaceae. The record is from RNAcentral.